Molecule: ribosomal RNA, 253 nt
Filed under: uncultured bacterium
Lineage: Bacteria
Description: partial 16S ribosomal RNA
Rfam family: Bacterial small subunit ribosomal RNA
Source: RNAcentral
CACGAAGGGGGCUAGCGUUGCUCGGAAUCACUGGGCGUAAAGCGCACGUAGGCGGCUUCUUAAGUCAGGGGUGAAAUCCUGGAGCUCAACUCCAGAACUGCCUUUGAUACUGAGAAGCUCGAGUCCGGGAGAGGUGAGUGGAACUGCGAGUGUAGAGGUGAAAUUCGUAGAUAUUCGCAAGAACACCAGUGGCGAAGGCGGCUCACUGGCCCGGUACUGACGCUGAGGUGCGAAAGCGUGGGGAGCAAACAGG